AAUUAUUUUUUUUUAAAAAUUAAAAAAUCAUUAAAUUGAUUUCUGCCUAAAAUUUCUGCCAUUCGAAAAUAUAUCUAGUUAAAUUCCAAUCUUUUCCACUCAUUACAACUCGAAAUUAUCUUUUUCAAGUUCUUACAUCGGUAUUUAUCGUAUAAACUAUCGUAAGAAAGAACAUCAACCAUUCUGCGAGUAUUCUUUAUUCUAUGUAAUUAAAUCGACAUUAACGUCAUUAAACUAACGCUGGAGGCGCUAGUACGUAGUGCGUAUAAGAGUACCAAUUAAGCACGUACGUUUUGACACUUGUUAUGAAAUGUACGAGCAAAAAACAAGAUAUUAGUACAAAAAUUAAAUACAAAUCCUUAUAAUCGUUUUUUAUAAUUUGCUCGUAAUUUUAUGUAUCAGAUUAAACUCGUAAUUUAUUUUAGAAAAAUCUUUUUUCAGUCAUAGAACAAGUUAGUAAAGUUUAUGCGGAACUUGUAGAACACUUUGUAUAGAAGUAUUGGUUAAACAAUUCGGUAUAACAUGAUAAUGGAGAGAAAAUAGGAAAAGUACUCUAGAUUAACGUGGACAGCAUCGAAUAUAUAUAGUAAAUAGUCUAUAA
Long non-coding RNA from Apis dorsata (giant honeybee), 601 nucleotides. RefSeq lists it as uncharacterized. The transcript has 2 exons. NCBI's taxonomy places the organism in Eukaryota, Metazoa, Arthropoda, Insecta, Hymenoptera, Apidae. The record is from RefSeq and is a predicted model, not a curated record.